This 78-nucleotide microRNA precursor is filed under the name Nomascus leucogenys (northern white-cheeked gibbon). RNAcentral describes it as "miRNA (ENSNLEG00000030665.1)". The record is from RNAcentral. Lineage: Eukaryota; Metazoa; Chordata; Mammalia; Primates; Hylobatidae.
UAGGUUGGUGCAAAAGUAAUCACUGUUUUUGCAAUUAAAAGUAAUGACAAACUCCACAAUUACUUUUGCACUAACCUA